RNAcentral lists this long non-coding RNA (613 nucleotides) under Astyanax mexicanus (Mexican tetra). RNAcentral describes it as "lncRNA (ENSAMXG00005014275.1)". Lineage: Eukaryota; Metazoa; Chordata; Actinopteri; Characiformes; Acestrorhamphidae. The record is from RNAcentral.
CGAUCUCGUAACUCAAGCACUGAGCUUAUCAGGUACAUCAGAUCUGAUAUCAAGCAUCAUCUUCAGCUACGGCUCUGCUCUGAGAGGAUGAUGGGUUUUGGUGACAUGUUUUACAUAACUGAUAAGAAAUACAGUGAUUAUAAAAAGAGAGAGAGAGAGACAGCAAAUCAAAGACACUUGCUCCAGAACUUAAAGAGCGACAGCCAAAGCUUCAUAAUGUCUGCGGAGAAGAUGCGCUGGAUGGGUUUGACCCUGGGGCUGGUCCUGCUGAUUGCAGUCUCCUCAGAUGCAGCACCUUUAGCUAUACAACAGCCUGAUGAGUGCUGCUUCUUCUUCGUCAGUUUUACAAUCCCCAGUCAUGCCGUCGAAGGAAUAAAAAGACUACCGAUCCACUGCCCCAAACCAGGCUACAUGUGAGUAUCCUCCUUUAGAGAAUAUAUACAGUAGAUAUGUGACUGACUCUUUUAUUAAAUGUAUGAAUACAUUUGUUUUGUAUAUUAAAUCUGAUUUGCUGCUGAUUAUCAGGAGAUGGGACUCCUGACUGAAAGAAAAGUGAGAUAACUGUAAUAACUGUGUCUUUCAGAGUUACAACUCCUAAAGGAAGGAUGUGUCA